RNAcentral lists this ribosomal RNA (402 nucleotides) under uncultured bacterium. RNAcentral describes it as "bacterial SSU rRNA". It matches the Rfam family "Bacterial small subunit ribosomal RNA", at positions 355 to 774 of the family's 1533-position model. The record is from RNAcentral.
UGGGGAAUAUUGCACAAUGGGGGAAACCCUGAUGCAGCGACGCCGCGUGGAGGAAGAAGGUCUUCGGAUUGUAAACUCCUGUCGUUGGGGACGAUAAUGACGGUACCCAACAAGAAAGCCACGGCUAACUACGUGCCAGCAGCCGCGGUAAAACGUAGGUGGCAAGCGUUGUCCGGAAUUACUGGGUGUAAAGGGAGCGCAGGCGGAAGGACAAGUUGGAAGUGAAACCCACGGGCUCAACCCGUGAACUGCUUUCAAAACUGUUUUUCUUGAGUGGUGUAGAGGUAGGCGGAAUUCCCGGUGUAGCGGUGGAAUGCGUAGAUAUCGGGAGGAACACCAGUGGCGAAGGCGGCCUACUGGGCACUAACUGACGCUGAGGCUCGAAAGCAUGGGUAGCAAACA